GCUAGGGUAGUAUAGCUUUUCCCUUACACCGAAAAGCUCUCCGUGCAAAUCGGAGCACCCUGAAGCCCAUAAGCUAGCUCAUACACUAAGAUAAACCCUCGAUAUUUAUAACUUAACAUAAAGAACUUAACUUAAAAUAAAACAUUCACCCCUCAGAGUAUAGGCGAUAGAAAUAAAAAAUGAAGCAAUAAUUAAGUACCGUAAGGAAAAGCUGAAAAAGAAAUGAAACAAAUCAGUUAAGCCUAAAAAAGCAAAGAUUACUACUUGUACCUUUUGCAUCAUGGUCUAGUUAGUCUCUAUUAAGCAAAAAGAAUUUCAGUUUAAUACCCCGAAACCAGGGGAGCUACCUCAAGACAGUCUAUUAAUUUAGGACCUACCCGUCUCUGUGGCAAGAGAGUGGGGAGAGCUUCAGGUAGAGGUGAUAAACCUACCGAACCUGGUGAUAGCUGGUUGCCUGAGAAAUGAAUAGGAGUUCAGCACUUAAUCUUCUUAAAACACCUGUAACUUGAACAGUCUAAAGAAAAUUAAAUAGUUAGUCAAAAGGGGUCCAGCCCUUUUAACAAAAGAAACAACUUUUUUAGGUGGAUAAAGUUCAUAAAUCUAUAAGGCAAAAUACACCUGU
This 622-nucleotide ribosomal RNA is filed under the name Xiphasia setifer (hairtail blenny). RNAcentral's name for it is "partial 12S ribosomal RNA". The stretch from base 249 to 622 matches the Rfam family "Bacterial large subunit ribosomal RNA", at positions 568 to 1079 of the family's 2925-position model. The record is from RNAcentral. Lineage: Eukaryota; Metazoa; Chordata; Actinopteri; Blenniiformes; Blenniidae.